UAGAAUUGGACCUUCGAUCAAGCUUUUUUAAAUUGGAAUAAUCCUUUCGACUAAAAUUGCAAACGGCACCUCAACUCAACCUUCAACAAAUGAGAACCCCAAAUCGAUAACGUCCCUAUCGAAUUCCACCCGUACCCUCUCCUAUUUUUCACUAAUCCAAGGCCCGAAGUAACAAACUAACGGAAAGCCCACGCUGAACAGUGAAGUUGAGUUUUGCCAGAGCUGGGAGCGGAUAAAACUGGUGGCAUUCACUGGUGGAGAGGGUGUUUUUCGAUGAGUUUGGCUGCGUUUCCCGGUGAGAAACAGUCAUUGGAACAGUACAAUUUUUCUCUCUGUUCUUCUUCAAUUUCACUCUAUUUCUCCUCUUUCCUGAUCGAUUUCAGCUCGCCAUUGCCUUUCUCUCUCUCUCUCUCCGAUAUCACGUGUCUGGUGUGUGUAUACGGUGUGUAUGUGAAAAUUCGAUAGAGUGUGAAAUUUUGUAUGUGCUCUGCUUGUAUGGAUUUUUGUCAGUAGAAAAAUGGAAGAUGAAAUGGAGAAUCUCGUGUGUGCAUGUGUUUUUUAUGUUUUUUGGUGAGAGAGUGUGUGUAUAACGUCAAGAAGAGAGCAAUUGAGUCUCUAUGUGCUGUGCGUUUCUCCCCUUUUUUUCAGUCUGCCCCCUUUCCCCUGUAAGUGUGUAUAUGUAGCGUAUGAAAAAUCAAGAAUGAAAACCGUGAGGUGAGUGUUGUGUGAUGGUAUGUGGGACCUUCUUUUUUUUUGUUGUAUUUGUCUUUCUGUUAUUAUAACAAAAGAUGAAAAAAUAUGAAUUGGGGGUAGUCACGUGGCAGGGGUAGGGAUGGUUAGGAUAGGAUAAAAUUAUUUAAGGGUUGUUAUUUUUUAUAUUUUUGUGGAAUAUAAUCACAUGGGUGAGGACACGCAAUAAGACGAGGGUAAAAUGAUAAAAAUGCUUUUUUGGAGGGAUAAAAUUACGUGUCUACAUCAUUCCCCCUUUGAAUGUAAGAACGUAGUGUUUUCAGACAAAGAAGUAGACAUCGAGACAAAAUUUUGUCCCGACCAUUAUUCAAAGGAAGAAACAGAAGGAAGAAGGGCAAUCGGAUCUUGACUUAGGACAUCCUACCUACCUAAGUUGUGAGGAAACUAAGUCACAUGUUUCUUAAAGGGUUUGAAGAGAAGUGGACUGUACCAAGCUGGAGAGUCAAGUGAGUUUCCAUUGAGGUUCCGAUCCGUGGCUCUGUCAUUCCAUCAAAAAUAAAAACUACAAGUUAAACGUAAAUGAAAAUUACAAAAAUCCUAUCUAUACAGCUUCUUUGACUCUUGACUUACUAUUUCAUCACUCUAUUCUUCAGGCGGGCUCCUGACUUGCAAUUUUUUCAACUUGUUAUUUGGCUUUCAAUUGCUUCACCUCGUUGCUUAUCUUUCAAUUUGUUCACCCUGUUCUUCAGGCGGGCUCCUGACUUGCUAUUUUUCAAUCUGUUAACUUUCAACUUUUCACCUUGUUGCUUUGUUUUCAACUUCAUCACCUUGUUGCUUGACUUUCAACUUCUUCACCAUAUUGACGGACAUUUCAUUUAUUCGCCCUGUUCUUCAGGCAGGCUCCUGAAAUCACAUUAAAACUAAAAAGAAAAUUAUCCCAAAUAAAGAUUAUUAUAAAGAGAUUUCCUUUGCCAGAAAAGUGAAGUUCCUAACACAAGAAUUAAAUUAGCACCAUUAGCAGAUGUCAUUGACUUGCUGCUUCAUUGACCCGAACUCAAAUUAUUAGGAGUGACUCUGAAAAAAACAUAAUAUCUAUGCUUUGUCAUGUUUCUAAGAUAAACCCUUUGAACCUUGGUAUUUCUAUGAGUUUUUAGAUUUGUCUGUUGAUAAAACUUUCUGCAUGCCUUUAUUUUCCGCUCACAAUCAUGUCUCUUUCAUGCGAUGGCCUUUCUGCCUUUCUUUGUACAAUUGAAGAAGUUGGUAGCUAGUUUUGAAAUCUUUUCUCACUUGUUUUGACAUAGACUUGACUCAAAGAUAAGAGAAAAUAAAAUGACAAUGAUUUUUAUGUGGAUAACUGACUCAAGAAAACAAAAAUAUAAAUAAAGAGAAGAAAGAAAAGAUAAUGAAUGUUCCCAUUUGAAACAAAAAUAAAACAAAAUAAAAAAAAUGAAAAAUUUAUCUAGAAAUGACAGUCAACUCUAAUGAUUAUGCCAUGUAUUUUGGAUAAAACUUCUUGAUCUUUUCAUCCAAACUUUUACCAUUUGUUCUUGAGUUAAUGGCCUUGAAACUGAGUUGCUUCCUUAGGUCAAUUACGUCUAAGACCUCAUUCGACUAGUGGCGCCUUGAAGGGUUUUGGCCAACAAGCUUCUCUCAUUUUCUUUUCCUCAGCUCACUAUUGUCUUAUGGUGUCUGUAAGGUUUUUCACUAAUUAGACUCUCUUAUCUUUGUUUUUCUUAACUCACAGUUAUCUUACGGUGCUCGUGAGAGUUUUCAUCAAUAAGACUCUCAUUUUUAUCUCUCUCAACUUACCAUCGUCUUAUGGUGCCCGUGAAGGUUUUUACCAAUAAGACUCUCAUUUUUAUUUCUCUCCUGAUUUCUUAUGCUGAGGAAGACAAGUAGUUCCCAAAUACAUCAUCAUAUCCCUUGCAUUCUUUGCCUCAACAUCCUCAAAUAUUGAUCUGAAGGUCUUUCUUUUGUUGUAACUUGGAUUUUGGACAAGGUUAGAAAGAAAGGAUGACAUGAGGCCCAAACGACACUUGUAGUGGGGUGGGACUUACAACUUUUGGAAUCGAUUCAAACAAUGAGGAUUCACUCAUGCCCCAGUUUCUUUUAACUAAAAAAUUCAAAAUUAUAUUUGGUUAGACCGAGCCCUGAGUAGGGAAGCCUACGUAUCUCACCCUCGAGAGAGGAGAAUUAGGUCAUGCGUAGUUCUGGCAGCUUGUUCUUUUGCUUAAUUCUAACUUUUCUUUCUUUUUUACUUUAUUGACUCUUUUCUCUUUGGGAUUUUUUUUCUGACUUCAUUUUCUUGACACUCUUCUUUUCUUUCUUUUUGGACACAUUUUUUUUUUUUUUUUUUUUAAGUUUUCUGACCUUUUUUUCAACACUUUUUCUUGGACGUUGCAGACUCUAUCCUGAUUCCAAAAGAGGGGUACGAAAGAAAAUAGAACUAAGGCUCAAAUAAGGUAAAAAAAGGAUGACACAAUAUUUGGAUAGCAGAAUGAAAUGCCUUCAUCAUAUCAAUUCUUGAAAAUGCAAGUACACACCAUGCAAUAUAAAAGUGAGAGAUGAAGAUCAUGUGUGACACUUUAACAACACAAACUUUUAACUGAGCAUGUGUGACACUUCUUUCUUCUAUACUUAUCAAACAUAUGACUCUACCGUUGUUGUAGAUCCCUCACAUUGAAUGACUCAUGAUUUCGUGGAGAUGAUUUUCUUCCCGUUUCAUUUGAUAUAGAUCACAUAUUCCUUGGUUGACCUAAUUGGGAUAUGCCUUUCGAUUGAUGACCAAGUUAUUCUUGUGAUUCUCAAAAUAAUUGCCUUAAUUUUCAAAGAAGGCCUCAACUUGUCACCAAAUGUCUCAGCACUCUACUUAUUUUCUCAGAUGCUUUCUUUUCCAAACUUUAACUCUCUGAUUCAAUGAUUCCUGAUUAAGUUGGAUUUCAAGAUCUGGCUAAAAAUUCUGUAGGCAUGUCAUAACACUAGAAUUAACAUAAAAUUCAUUGCGUAACACAGACAAACAAAGAACUUAAAAUAAGACAAAACAAACAAGGGACACCACAUUUCAUUGAAAGGAAAGAUAGAAGGGUUUAAACAAAAAUGACAGAGAAACAAAGAAGAUAGAUCCCGAACAACCCUGAAAUAAUUUGGAAAAUAGAAAAGAAAACAAAACAAACUACCAGACCUCUUCCUAGUAGGGAGAGAGGUGACUUCUCAACUGCUCAGCUUGACAACUUAGUCACUGGUUUGCAUAUCAGCAUGACUAAAACUUCCACAACGAUAAGACACAUUUUCUUUAACAAAUAAGUUUUCGGUCCUCAUGUUCAAAGCAUUGCUUCCCAUAUAUUGUGCAAUACCAUGUGCUGGCGAAUAAUUCUGUGGGAUGGUUGAGGUGCCAAUGUUUUGCACCACAAUCAAUUUUUCUUGAAUCAUCCUUGAUAUUUCUCUUUUCAAAGCGCGAAAAUUCUUAAUACUGUGACCCUGAACAUCAGAAUGAUAUGCAUAUCAUACAUUAGGAUCAAAACUUCUUGAAUGUGGGUUAGGAGUAUAACUGAGGAGAGGAGUGAUCAUGCCCCACUGUACUAAUCUCUGGAAUAAACUGGCAUAUGACUCUCCAAUUGGUGUAAAGCUAUCCCUCGAUUUCUGCCUCAUUUCAUUAUUUAGUUUUGAUCGAACCUCGGGCCUAGAAGGGCUUUGGUAUGUUUGUGGAGUUAGAGGGUGACUUUGAGGAGUUGGUGCGUGUCAUUGUGAAUAAAAAGAGAGUUGAACAUAUGGCUGUGCGCAAUAUACUAGAUAUGGUGGUGGGGAAAUAGAGUAUAAUAGAUUUUGGGAGGGAUUAUAGAGAGCUUGGGUAUGAACUUGGGCUUGAGACUAACGGUAACGAUGACGUCGCCUUCUUGGAUGUGCCUAUUCUUCAACUACAUUGACAAUUGCAUCUUUCUCAUUCUUCUUUCCUCUAGUUUCUCUUAAUUGAUUGUAAUAUUGUCCCAAAUAUUCCACGGAUUCCCCAUGUCUAUCUUGCUCCUCAAAUUUUGACAUCUUAAGGAUUGGAGGGGGGUUAACACUUGAAGACAUGCCCCAAUCUUUGUAUGUAACAUCUUCUUUACCCAUAAGUCCUAGGAAAUUUUUCGUAGCAUUUUCUGCAUUCUUCAUCUUCUCAACCAUUUUCUCUGGCUCUUCUGGCAUGCUAGGCUUCUUGUUAAAAAAUUUUGGUGGUCCAAUUAACUUAAAUGUAGGAUCAAGAGUCUAAUAAUGAUCACCAAGAGUAUCGAGCAUGGGUCCACUAACAACAUGGGGAAACACAACUGUUAGGCAUCUAGCCAAUGUGGAUGUCUCAGCGGAGGAUUGAGCACCAAAAUCACAGACGACAUGUGGUGUUGUAAAUAUAGUUGGCUUAUGCCGAGGGGCUAGAAAAAUAGUGGUGGAAGUAUUGAAAUUCUUUUGGCUUGGAAUGAAUUCUGAGGCAUGUUGUGGUGCAUCAACAACAUUAGAAUAUGGAGCUUGCCAUUGUGAUGGAGAACUCAGGUUAUUUGCGGGGUCAACAGUAGAGAAUGGAGGAGGAGGCAACUUACUGGCCCAAUCUCGAUGCAUUUCCGUCAUUUGUUGCCUUAGUCUCCUAAUCUCUUGCUUCAAACUCUCAUUUUCAUGGCUCUUUUUUUGAUCCACGAUUUCACUCUCUAUAUCCUUGUUGGAUACAACUAACUCUUCCUCGGAUUUGGUGUGAUGUGGAGGAUCAGCCAGGAUGUCACAAACCAAUCACCUUAAACCAAUCAACACUUUCUCAAACUUUUUUUAGUUUUUUCUUUUUUUUUGAAAAAGAUUACCGAAUCCAAAAAGGGCGCCUACGUAUCUCACCCCCGAAAGGGGAGAAUCAGGUGUGCGUAGUUCGUGAAGUUUUUCCAAAAUGGCCAAUUAAACUAUUUUUCUUUUUUUUUUCCUUGUAACUUUAAAAAGAAAAGAAAAUAACAAAUUGUCAAAAGAAUUAAUGAAAAUCUUUUUGCAUUUUUCAGGUUUAAACUCAUUAUACAAAAUGGAAUCUAUGAUUAUCAAAGAAAAAUCUUUUUGGAUUUUCAAUUUUGAAUUUCAUAGGAAAAUGAAACUUGAAACUAUUAAAGAAAAAUCUUUUUUUAGUUUUCUUUUGGAGAUGUAUAUGAAACACCUAUUCUAAGUGAAGAGUGAAGAAAAUCUUUUUGAAUUUUUCAGAUUCCUGUACAACAUGAAAUCUGUGAUUACCGAAGAAAAUAUUUUUGGAUUUUUGAUUUUGAAUUUCAUACGAAAAUGAAACUUGAACCUAUUCAAGGAAAUAUUUUUUUUGUUGUUUUCUUUUAAAGAUGUACAUGAGACACCUACUCUAAAUGAAGAGUGAAGAAAAUCUUUUUUGGAUUUUUGAAAUAAGAUCUCCGAACCAAUAAUAGGCUACCUACGUAUCUCACUCCCAAGAGAGGAGAAUCAGGGGUGCGUAGUUCGUCCAAAUUGGACAAUUAAGGAUUAACUAGAAAACUGAACCCUGAUUUAAGAGACAUUAACAAAGAUAAACGAUAAAAGACGUUAAAAAAUAGUUUUUUUUUGGGGGGGGGGGGGGGUUUCAAUUAGACACUUCACAUAAAACUGACACCGAUAACUAUGAAAGAAUUUUUUUUUGAAAAUUUUGAAUUAUGAAUGCAGGACAAAGAAAUAAAAGGAAAAUCUUUUGGAUGUUAUUUUUUAGGAAAAUGAGUGCGAAAGGUAAAAAAAUCGUUUGAAUUUUUGGAUUGUGAAAAAAAAUAAUCAAAAGCCAUAAAGAAUUCUAAAAACUUACGAAACACUUUUUUUCUUUUCGACUCACUUUUUCUUUUUUUUUCCUCUUUUUUUUUUCAAUUUUUCCUUGCCUACAUACUCGAUUUUUCUAGCACAUGCUCUCCUCCAAAUCAAUUCGUCAAAUGACCAUAUUACCCUUAAAGAUGCAACAUUUAGCACGCAGAGAUGCUUUAGAGGUGAGUUUCCUACAAAAGGCCACGUGAGUCCUACUAGGUCUCAAUAUGAUGCAGAUAAGCAUGAUCUAAAGGCUGACCUACGCUGGGGUUCACUAACAAGGCUGUUCGGGGGUGCAUAUGGUCGACAGUGGUUGCGAUAUCUUUCCACCCACUCCAUAACAUCGAUGGAUCCCCCUCCAAAAAUAAGAGUGACUCAACUAGAGGUCGUGGACAACACGUGUACUAUGGACUUGUUACAAAAAGAAUGACUUAGAUUAUUCACAUGAUGCCAGAUAUAAAGCGGUAACACAUAAAGUAAAACUAUAAACAAAGAGCACGUAGGCACUCAACACUGAUAAAAUGAAUACGAACAAUAACAUAAACAAUGUCUAUACACCCAUAAUGUCAAACAAAGCCGAUACAACUCCAAAAUUAGCUCGAAUUCUGAAAAGUCCCCAGCAGAGUCGCCAGAGCUGUCACACCCCUUUUUAACUCCAAAAAGAUUAAAUUUAAGUUUCGAAAGGGUUUUCAUUAUUAAAGUGACAAAAAAUGAAAAUUUUGUUUCGAAAAGGAUUAUUCACAUUUAUACUCAGAGUCGCCACUUGGCACAAAUCAGGUGUGCCAAGUCACCCAUGGAUAUCCUUUUUCAAAAUGGUUUUGACUCUAUAAAACUAAUCCGCAAACAGAGAUUCUGACUAAGAACUUCUGUUGACCGGGGGGAAGGUGUUAAGCACCCUUCGAUCCCGUGGUUCGACCACGGUCGCUUGGUGGUGAAUAUCAGCUAAUUUGACAUUACAAAUGUAUAAACCACACAAAAACACAUAAAACAAUCAAACAAACAAACAAAAUAAAAUGAAUAACAAAUAUAAUGUCCAGUCCAAUUAUACAGUCCUGAAAUAAAUAAAAAUGCAAAAAUAAAUCCUAUCUAACCUAUACUAAUCCUAACUACGCUCCCAGGAUUUAUCCGAUGCCUCGGGCCUUGAUCACAAUUCGCCUUCGCCAACAUGAUACGUCGGGGCAUUCUUCGGUGAAUAAAUACAUCAAUGUUUGGGGCAUUCUCCGGCCAAAUGAAUACAUUUCAAUCCAAAAAAAUAAAUCAACACAUUUCAACAAAACACUUUCAUCAUUUAACGAUUGCAAGUCCUACUUUUGCCUACCCGAACCUACUCUUUACUUAUCCAAUUCGACCGAUCACGAUACUAUCACAUCAACGAUGUUCAAUGAAUCAAAAUAAAUUAACGCUUACAUUUUAUCAAUUUUCGAUUCCCACCCUCCAAAAUUCAAUUCAAGGUUUCCACAUAAUCAUUCACAGUUAUGAUUUUUCAACAAUCCUCGAACACUAUCAAUGAAAUCAAACGACAAAUUGAAAUCAUGAAGUAUUCAUAUCAAAUCAUGCCUCGCAUAAAUAAUCACAUAUAGUGAAAUUAAAAAUGAGAGGUGAUAGAAUUGGACCUUCGAUCAAGCUUUUUUAAAUUGGAAUAAUCCUUUCGACUAAAAUCGCAAACGGAACCUCAACUCAACCUUCAACAAAUGAGAACCCCAAAUCGAUAACGUCCCUAUCGAAUUCCACCCGUACCCUCUCCUAUUUUUCACUAAUCCAAGGCCCGAAGUCACAAACUAACAAAAAACCCACACUGAACAGUAAAGUUGGGUCGGUUUUGGCGGUUUCCCAAUAGUUUUCGUCGGAGUUGGGAGGGGAUAAAAUUGGUGGCAUUCACUGGUGGAGAGGGUGUUUUCCGAUGAGUUUGGAUGCGUUUCCUAGUGAAAAACAGGCACCGGAAUAGUGCUAAACUUUCCCUCUGUUCUUCUUCUAUUUCACUCCAUUUCUUUUCUUUUUCAAUCAAUUUCAGCUCGCCAUUGCCUUUCUCUCUCUCUCUCCGAUCUCACGUGUCUGGUGUUUGUAUACGGUGUGUAUGUGAAAAUUUGAUGGAGUGUGAAAUUUUGUGUGUGCUGUGCCUGUAUAGAUUUUUGUCAGUAGAAAAAUGGAAGAUGAAAUGGAGAAUCUCGUAUGUGCGUGUGUUUUUUGUGUUUUCUGGCGAGAGAGUGUGUGUGUAUAACGUGAAGAAGAGAGCAAUGAAGUCUCUGUGUUCUAUGCGUUUCUCCUUUUUUCAGUCCGCCCCCUUUCCCUGUGAGUGUGUAU
This 8778-nucleotide long non-coding RNA is filed under the name Capsicum annuum. Its description in RNAcentral is "long non-coding RNA (CANN_LNC012134)". The record is from RNAcentral. Lineage: Eukaryota; Viridiplantae; Streptophyta; Magnoliopsida; Solanales; Solanaceae.